GACGAACGCUGGCGGCCUGCUUAACACAUGCAAGUCGAACGGAAAGGCCCCUUCGGGGGUACUCGAGUGGCGAACGGGUGAGUAACACGUGAGUAACCUGCCCUUGACUUCGGGAUAACUUCAGGAAACUGGGGCUAAUACCGGAUAGGAAUCCUUGCUGCAUGGUGGGGGUUGGAAAGCUUCGGCGGUUUUGGAUGGACUCGCGGCUUAUCAGCUUGUUGGUGGGGUAGUGGCUUACCAAGGCUUUGACGGGUAGCCGGCCUGAGAGGGCGACCGGCCACAUUGGGACUGAGAUACGGCCCAGACUCCUACGGGAGGCAGCAGUGGGGAAUAUUGCACAAUGGGCGGAAGCCUGAUGCAGCAACGCCGCGUGCGGGAUGACGGCCUUCGGGUUGUAAACCGCUUUCAGCAGGGGCGAAGCUUGUGGUGACGGUACCUGCAGAAGAAGCACCGGCUAACUACGUG
RNAcentral lists this ribosomal RNA (465 nucleotides) under uncultured bacterium. RNAcentral describes it as "partial 16S ribosomal RNA". It matches the Rfam family "Bacterial small subunit ribosomal RNA", at positions 28 to 507 of the family's 1533-position model. The record is from RNAcentral.